AUCCGACUAAGGAGUGUGUAACAACUCACCUGCCGAAGCAACUAGCUCUGAAAAUGGAUGGCGCUUGAGCAUCACACCUAUACCCAACCGCUGGGGCAGAACAGGCAAAUGUAGUUGCAGAUCCAGGGCCUACAGGCCCCAGCGAGUAGGAGGGGCGCAGCGGUGUGCGCAGAAGGGAUUGGGCGUGAGCCUGCCUGGAGCCGCCGUUGGUGCAGAUCUUGGUGGUAGUAGCAAAUACUCGAGCGAUAUCCUGGAGAUCUGAUGUGGAGAAGGGUUCCAUGUGAACAGCCUUUGCACAUGGGUCAGUCUGUCCUAAGCUGCAGGAGAAAUCCGGGUUCUGGCGAAAUCAGCGCUCCCGAAAACACAAUUAUGCAAAUAUUGAGAUAAUGGGUGUCGCUGCCAAACCUAAGCGAGAGGGAAUCCGGUACUGAUUCCGGAACCUGGUCACGGAUAACCUCUCCUCGGAGAGGGUCGUUGGGGUCCUCGUGAUCUACACCGUAAGGUAGCUAAACUCGGGGAAGUCGGCCGC
Molecule: ribosomal RNA, 529 nt
Filed under: Skogsbergiella sp. DS_3
Lineage: Eukaryota; Metazoa; Arthropoda; Ostracoda; Myodocopida; Cylindroleberididae
Description: eukaryotic LSU rRNA
Rfam family: Eukaryotic large subunit ribosomal RNA
Source: RNAcentral